AGAGCGAACGCUGGCGGCAGGCCUAACACAUGCAAGUCGAGCGCCCGUAGCAAUACGGGAGCGGCAGACGGGAUAGUAACACGUGGGAACGCGCCCUUCGGUUCGGAAUAACUCAGGGAAACUUGAGCUAAUACCGAAUACGCCCUUACGGGGAAAGAUUUAUUGCCGAAGGAACGGCCCGCGUCCGAUUAGCUAGUUGGUGAGGUAAUGGCUCACCAAGGCUACGAUCGGUAGCUGGUCUGAGAGGAUGACCAGCAUCACUGGGACUGAGACACGGCCCAGACUCCUACGGGAGGCAGCAGUGGGGAAUAUUGGACAAUGGGCGAAAGCCUGAUCCAGCCAUGCCGCGUGGAUGAUGAAGGCCUUAGGUUGUAAAGUCUUUAACGGGAGAUAAUGACGGUACCGUAGAAUAAGCCCGGCUAACUUCGCGCCAGCAGCCGC
RNAcentral lists this ribosomal RNA (441 nucleotides) under uncultured bacterium. RNAcentral describes it as "SSU rRNA". It matches the Rfam family "Bacterial small subunit ribosomal RNA", at positions 26 to 518 of the family's 1533-position model. The record is from RNAcentral.